Molecule: non-coding RNA, 258 nt
Organism: Cinara cedri
Lineage: Eukaryota; Metazoa; Arthropoda; Insecta; Hemiptera; Aphididae
Source: the annotation of a GenBank genome assembly
ACAAAACUAUUACAACACGGUUGUUGUUGAUUGGUAACGAAAAUAUUAAGAGCAGUUUUCUUUUGUGUUUUGGCCACGUAUAUAAAGGGCACGUAGUCUUUUCGGCUUGAAAUUACAUUGAGUGGUAAUUUGCAGGCCUUAAGAAACAUCCGAUUUCAGGGGACACACUUUUUAAUUGAAAUGUUAUCUUUAACAACUCCUAAACAAAACAAAAAACCUGAUGGGGGGAGAGCUAAGAAUUUUGGUAACAUUAUAAUA